This is a ribosomal RNA of Chlorocebus sabaeus (green monkey), 119 nucleotides long. NCBI's taxonomy places the organism in Eukaryota, Metazoa, Chordata, Mammalia, Primates, Cercopithecidae. The record is from Rfam.
GUCCAUGGGCCUACCACUAUGAACACGCCUGAUCUCAUCUGAUCUCAGAAGUUAACCAGGAUCAGACCUGGCUAGUACUCGGAUGAGAAGCCAACAGGGAAUACCACGUGCUGUAAGCU